UACAGAAGGUGCGAGCGUUAAUCGGAAUUACUGGGCGUAAAGGGUGCGUAGGCGGUCGGGUAAGUCUGGCGUGAAAUCUCCAAGCCUAACUUGGAAACUGCGUUGGAUACUAUCCGGCUCGAGGAAUGGAGGGGAGACUGGAAUACUUGGUGUAGCAGUGAAAUGCGUAGAUAUCAAGUGGAACACCAGUGGCGAAGGCGAGUCUCUGGACAUUUCCUGACGCUGAGGCACGAAAGCCAGGGGAGCAAACGGG
This 253-nucleotide ribosomal RNA is filed under the name uncultured bacterium. RNAcentral describes it as "partial 16S ribosomal RNA". It matches the Rfam family "Bacterial small subunit ribosomal RNA", at positions 524 to 776 of the family's 1533-position model. The record is from RNAcentral.